UGCUUGCUUUGGCAGCAAUAGAUUAAAAUUGGAAUGGUAAUAGAGAAGAUUAGCAUGGCCCCUAGGCAAGGAGGAAACAUUAAGAUGGAGAACAACAGACUUGC
This 104-nucleotide small nuclear RNA is filed under the name Zalophus californianus (California sea lion). The record is from RNAcentral. Lineage: Eukaryota; Metazoa; Chordata; Mammalia; Carnivora; Otariidae.